CCGCACGCGCGUUUUUUAAUUGCCAGGGGAUAUUUUCAACACCGCGGCUGCUGUGGUCAAGGAAAACAAUGCACAUCUAGUUUUCCCCAACAUUACUCAGCUGCUGAAGACAUAUGGCACAGCUCCGGUGUCCACAGCAACUGUUGAACGUUCCUUCUCAAAACUGAAGCUGGUGAAAACCAAACUUCGCAGCCUUUGCAAAGAGGAGAGAUUGUCUGACCUUCUUCUGUCGGCCAUUGAGAAGGACAUUCCAAUAAAUGACAAUGAUGUCAUUAACAUUUUUAGGGACAUGUCCAACAGGAAACCUCUGUUAUAAGUGCCUACAACCACUCAUCCUCCACUUAUAGAUUUUUCAGUGCUGACCAUCUGCUGCACCCAGCAGAUCUGGAGUGAAGCUCCUUUAAGACAACAUCUCCAAGAUGCUAUUGACCACAAGACUAGUACAGAUUCACAGAUGAAUACAAAGUUCAAAAGACCUGAUCAACUCUGUCACUGACUAUGCCAUACAAUUUCAGACUCUAGCUGCGGCGUGCGGCUGGAAUGAAAGCACGCUUUCUCGAGGGGCUAGACUUUACCAUUGCCUACAAACUAGCUGCCAUAGAUCUUCCCUGAGAGCUGGAUAAUUUGAUUAAUCUUGCGCUCCGUGUGGAGGGCCGUCUCAACCGGCUAUUACGGCGAGUCCUCAGUCCUUUGAUGUUGAGCCCAUGGAACUGGGUCGUCUCCGGAUUACGCCACAGCAGAAGCAGGAGCGUCUAUCUCAAGGAUUGUGCCUAUAUUGUAGCAAGGCGGGCCACUUCGUCCUUCAGUGUCCGUUAAAAGCCAAGGCCCACCAGUGAUGCGGAGAGUCCUGGUGGGCACCUUUCCCUGUUCAAGCUCUCCAGCAGCACGCACUCAGCUGCCUUUUCAACUCUCCUUUCAGGGAGGUUCACACACUGGUCACGCCCUUCUGGAUUCGGGGCCUGAGGGGAAUUUCCUCAAUUCUGCCUCUGCACACAAAUGGAACAUUCCGACUAUUCCCCUGCCUAAACCCAUUGCGGCAUGGUCAUUAGGGGGCAGUCCCCUUACGACCAUCACUCAUGUAACACCUAGUGUGAGCCUUUACCUCUCUGGUAAUCAUUGUGAGCAGAUUGAACUGUUUAUUAUUGACUCCCCUAAGGCCCCGUUAAUAUUGGGACAUCCAUGGUUGCUGAAACACAACCCACAUAUUGACUUAAUCAGUAGUUCUGUUUUAACCUGGAAUCAGUCUUGUCACGUGUCAUGUUUGGGUGCUGCUUUUCCUGUGUCUUGUGUUUCAUAGGUGGAUUCCUCUGACCUGACUGGCGUCCUGGCGGAGUACUAUUAUCUUUGUGUGGUCUUCAGUAAAUCCCGGGUCACCUUGUUACCUCUGCAUCGUACGUUAUGAAAAUUUGAAUGACAUUAAAGGUAGGGGGUACCUGUUCUUUACCGUAAUGUCUUCUGCUUUUGAAUUGUUGCAGGGAGCUCGGGUUUUCACCAAAUUAGACCUUCACAACGCUUACCAUCUGGUGCGCAUUCGGGAGGGGGAUGAGUGGAAGAUGGCAUUUAACACCUGUUGUGAAUUUGACCCUUAUUUCAUUUUUCCUUUUCUUUUUCCCAUAUAUAUAUGUACUACAUAUCCCACAAUUCCAAGCAGACUACAAUACCCAUGCAAGUGCACUACAUUACCCAUACACCUCCUGGUCAAGGUCUAUAAAUAGACCUCACUUCCUUCCUUUGUUUCUCUUCCUUUGGUGAGGGUGUGGGUGUUUGAAUGGACACCCAACCAUGUCCUUUGAGUCCUUUCCUUAGGAUGCGUUAAUGACUUAAGACCAUCUUGUACAUCUUGUACACGUUGUCCAUCCAGUUCAUCCUGUCCAUCUAAUAACAUCUGUCCAUCUCCAUGCUAUGGGAAUUGUCUAUGAAUAAUCAUCUUGAACUUAAAAAUAAAAGAGAGCAAAGGACUGGUAUCUGUCCCGUGUUUUAAUCAGACACGCCAUCAAGUUUCUACACCUCUGAUGAACUUUGGAUAUAUUAACAUCUGAUAUCCUACAAAUGGUCCUUCGAGCCGGAAUGAAAAGGUCAUUACUAGGUCCAAGCAGGACCAAGGAGCUAUGGACUUGUUGGCCUCCAAGUCUAAAAUAGUUGAUGUGGAU
This is a long non-coding RNA of Cyprinus carpio (common carp), 2150 nucleotides long. RefSeq lists it as uncharacterized. The transcript has 5 exons. Lineage: Eukaryota; Metazoa; Chordata; Actinopteri; Cypriniformes; Cyprinidae. The record is from RefSeq and is a predicted model, not a curated record.